CGAACGGGUGAGUAACACGUGAAGAACCUGCCCUUCAGUGGGGGACAACAGUUGGAAACGACUGCUAAUACCGCAUAAGCCCACGGAUCCGCAUGGAUCUGCGGGAAAAGGAUUUAUUCGCUUCAGGAUGGACUCGCGUCCAAUUAGCUAGUUGGUGAGGUAACGGCCCACCAAGGCGACGAUUGGUAGCCGGACUGAGAGGUUGAACGGCCACAUUGGGACUGAGACACGGCCCAGACUCCUACGGGAGGCAGCAUG
This 258-nucleotide ribosomal RNA is filed under the name uncultured bacterium. RNAcentral's name for it is "partial 16S ribosomal RNA". It matches the Rfam family "Bacterial small subunit ribosomal RNA", at positions 99 to 353 of the family's 1533-position model. The record is from RNAcentral.